GAAACAGGCCGCCUUAUCGCUUCGGCCCGAUAGCUAUCGGGAUCGGAGAGGAAAGUCCGGACAACAUAGGGUGCCAUGCUUCUCAAAAGGAAGGGCUGCAGUUUUAAAGCUGUAGGACAGAGAGUGCCGCAGAGAUAUACCGCCACGUCCCGAUAGCUAUCGGGAUCGGGGUAAGGGUGAAAAGGUGGAGUAAGAGCCCACCGUGCUGGUGGUGACAUCAGUAGCUAGGUAAACCUCGUGGGUUGAAAUGUCAUGUAUACCAGGGCUGUCCCGAAUCCCGAUAGCUAUCGGGAUGGGAUGAAAGGGCUACCCGCUCGAUCCUGGAGGGUAGGCAGAAUAGAUAAAUGAUAAGGCUUCUCACUUUUGUGAGUUGACAGAAUCCGGCUUAUAGGCCUGUUUUUUUU
This 404-nucleotide RNase P RNA is filed under the name Owenweeksia hongkongensis DSM 17368. RNAcentral's name for it is "Bacterial RNase P class A". It matches the Rfam family "Bacterial RNase P class A". Rfam says of the family: Ribonuclease P (RNase P) is a ubiquitous endoribonuclease, found in archaea, bacteria and eukarya as well as chloroplasts and mitochondria. Its best characterised activity is the generation of mature 5'-ends of tRNAs by cleaving the 5'-leader elements of precursor-tRNAs. Cellular RNase Ps are ribonucleoproteins. The record is from Rfam by way of RNAcentral. Lineage: Bacteria; Pseudomonadati; Bacteroidota; Flavobacteriia; Flavobacteriales; Owenweeksiaceae.